RNAcentral lists this ribosomal RNA (254 nucleotides) under uncultured bacterium. RNAcentral's name for it is "partial 16S ribosomal RNA". It matches the Rfam family "Bacterial small subunit ribosomal RNA", at positions 524 to 776 of the family's 1533-position model. The record is from RNAcentral.
UACGUAGGGGGCAAGCGUUUGUUCGGAUUCAUUGGGCGUAAAGGGUGUGUAGGUGGCGCCGUAAGUCGGGUGUGAAAUUUCGGAGCUUAACUCCGAAACUGCAUUCGAUACUGCGGUGCUUGAGGACUGGAGAGGAGACUGGAAUUCAUGGUGUAGCAGUGAAAUGCGUAGAGAUCAUGAGGAAGACCAGUGGCGAAGGCGGGUCUCUGGACAGUUCCCGACACUGAGACACGAAGGCCAGGGGAGCAAACAGG